This 301-nucleotide ribosomal RNA is filed under the name uncultured bacterium. RNAcentral describes it as "partial 16S ribosomal RNA". It matches the Rfam family "Bacterial small subunit ribosomal RNA", at positions 509 to 807 of the family's 1533-position model. The record is from RNAcentral.
CAGUAGCCGCGGGAAUACGGAGGGUGCAAGCGUUAAUCGGAAUUACUGGGCGUAAAGCGCACGCAGGCGGUUUGUUAAGUCAGAUGUGAAAUCCCCGAGCUUAACUUGGGAACUGCAUUUGAAACUGGCAAGCUAGAGUCUUGUAGAGGGGGGUAGAAUUCCAGGUGUAGCGGUGAAAUGCGUAGAGAUCUGGAGGAAUACCGGUGGCGAAGGCGGCCCCCUGGACAAAGACUGGCGCUCAGGUGCGAAAGCGUGGGGAGCAAACAGGAUUAGAUACCCCGGUAGUCCCUGUCUCUUAUAC